This 1172-nucleotide ribosomal RNA is filed under the name Nocardiopsis sp. RA01. Its description in RNAcentral is "bacterial SSU rRNA". It matches the Rfam family "Bacterial small subunit ribosomal RNA", at positions 166 to 1338 of the family's 1533-position model. The record is from RNAcentral. Lineage: Bacteria; Bacillati; Actinomycetota; Actinomycetes; Streptosporangiales; Nocardiopsidaceae.
AUAGCGGAUAGGACCACCACCUCAUGGUGGAGGGUGGAAAGUUUUAUCGGCACGGAUGGGCUCGCGGCCUAUCAGCUUGUUGGUGGGGUAACGGCCUACCAAGGCGAUUACGGGUAGCCGGCCUGAGAGGGCGACCGGCCUACUGGGACUGAGACACGGCCCAGACUCCUGCGGGAGGCAGCAGUGGGGAAUAUUGCACAAUGGGCGAAAGCCUGAUGCAGCGACGCCGCGUGGGGGAUGACGGCCUUCGGGUUGUAAACCUCUUUUACCACCAACGCAGGCUCCACGUUCUCGUGGGGUUGACGGUAGGUGGGGAAUAAGGACCGGCUAACUACGUGCCAGCAGCCGCGGUAAUACGUAGGGUCCGAGCGUUGUCCGGAAUUAUUGGGCGUAAAGAGCUCGUAGGCGGCAUGUCGCGUCUGCUGUGAAAGACCGGGGCUUAACUCCGGUUUCUGCAGUGGAUACGGGCAUGCUAGAGGUAGGUAGGGGAGACUGGAAUUCCUGGUGUAGCGGUGAAAUGCGCAGAUAUCAGGAGGAACACCGGUGGCGAAGGGCGGGUCUCUGGGCCUUACCUGACGCUGAGGAGCGAAAGCAUGGGGAGCGAACAGGAUUAGAUACCCUGGUAGUCCAUGCCGUAAACGUUGGGCGCUAGGUGUGGGGACUUUCCACGGUUUCCGCGCCGUAGCUAACGCAUUAAGCGCCCCGCCUGGGGAGUACGGCCGCAAGGCUAAAACUCAAAGGAAUUGACGGGGGCCCGCACAAGCGGCGGAGCAUGUUGCUUAAUUCGACGCAACGCGAAGAACCUUACCAAGGUUUGACAUCACCCGUGGACCUGUAGAGAUACAGGGUCAUUUAGUUGGUGGGUGACAGGUGGUGCAUGGCUGUCGUCAGCUCGUGUCGUGAGAUGUUGGGUUAAGUCCCGCAACGAGCGCAACCCUUGUUCCAUGUUGCCAGCACGUAAUGGUGGGGACUCAUGGGAGACUGCCGGGGUCAACUCGGAGGAAGGUGGGGACGACGUCAAGUCAUCAUGCCCCUUAUGUCUUGGGGUGCAAACAUGAUACAAUGGCCAGUACAAUGGGCGUGCGAUACCGUAAGGUGGAGUGAAUCCCUUAAAGCCGGUCUCAGAUCCGAUUGGGGUCAGCAACUCGACCCCUUGAAAGUGGAGUCGAUAG